RNAcentral lists this ribosomal RNA (130 nucleotides) under uncultured bacterium. RNAcentral describes it as "partial 16S ribosomal RNA". It matches the Rfam family "Bacterial small subunit ribosomal RNA", at positions 917 to 1045 of the family's 1533-position model. The record is from RNAcentral.
GGGCCCGCACAAGCGGUGGAGCAUGUGGUUUAAUUCGAAGCAACGCGAAGAACCUUACCUGGGCUUGACAUGCACGGGAAAGCCGGUGGAAACAUCGGUUCCUCUUCGGAGUCCGUGCACAGGUGCUGCA